CUGCAAGCUUUGUAGGAAUGAUCUGAGUCUACGCUGGAGCAGGACCCUUAUGGACUUCUUGACUCCCGUAAUGCACAGUCCACUCAGUGAUCUUAUACUUUCAGGCAACCCACGGCACCAAUACAAUGCACAACCUAUACAUAAUAAUUAGACCGGCAACAAUCCUGAAAUAUAUAGGAAAUAUAUACAAAUGUGGAUAAAAUGC
This is a non-coding RNA of Pelobates cultripes (western spadefoot toad), 205 nucleotides long. The record is from the annotation of a GenBank genome assembly. Lineage: Eukaryota; Metazoa; Chordata; Amphibia; Anura; Pelobatidae.